GAUGGCGUAGUUUAGUUAAGAAUUAUUAUUCUGCAAAUAAUAGGUGAAUUGUGUUAUUCCGCUGUUA
This 67-nucleotide transfer RNA is filed under the name Trichobilharzia regenti. RNAcentral describes it as "tRNA-Ala". The record is from RNAcentral. Lineage: Eukaryota; Metazoa; Platyhelminthes; Trematoda; Strigeidida; Schistosomatidae.